ACUCAAAGGAAUUGACGGGGGCCCGCACAAGCGGUGGAGCAUGUGGUUCAAUUCGACGCAACGCGAAGAACCUUACCCAGGCUUGAAGAGCGGGUGACGACCCCCGAAAGGGGGCUUCCGCAAGGACACCCGUAGAGGUGCUGCAUGGCUGUCGUCAGCUCGUGUCGUGAGAUGUUGGGUUAAGUCCCGCAACGAGCGCAACCCUUGUCCCCUGUUGCCAUCAGGUUGAGCUGGGCACUCUGGGGAGACUGCCGGUGACAAACCGGAGGAAGGUGGGGAUGACGUCAAGUCAGCAUGGCCUUUAUGUCUGGGGCUACACACGUGCUACAAUGGCCGGCACAAACCGUUGCGAUCCCGCGAGGGGGAGCUAAUCGGAGAAAACCGGUCUCAGUUCGGAUCGCAGGCUGCAACUCGCCUGCGUGAAGUUGGAAUCGCUAGUAAUCGCAGAUCAGCACGCUGCGGUGAAUACGUUCCCGGGCCUUGUACACACCGCCCGU
Molecule: ribosomal RNA, 497 nt
Filed under: uncultured bacterium
Lineage: Bacteria
Description: bacterial SSU rRNA
Rfam family: Bacterial small subunit ribosomal RNA
Source: RNAcentral